This 308-nucleotide ribosomal RNA is filed under the name Staphylococcus aureus. RNAcentral's name for it is "bacterial SSU rRNA". It matches the Rfam family "Bacterial small subunit ribosomal RNA", at positions 1 to 298 of the family's 1533-position model. The record is from RNAcentral. Lineage: Bacteria; Bacillati; Bacillota; Bacilli; Caryophanales; Staphylococcaceae.
UUUAUGGAGAGUUUGAUCCUGGCUCAGGAUGAACGCUGGCGGCGUGCCUAAUACAUGCAAGUCGAGCGAACGGAUGAGAAGCUUGCUUCUCUGAUGUUAGCGGCGGACGGGUGAGUAACACGUGGAUAACCUACCUAUAAGACUGGGAUAACUUCGGGAAACCGGAGCUAAUACCGGAUAAUAUUUUGAGCCGCAUGGUUCAAAAGUGAAAGACGGUCUUGCUGUCACUUAUAGAUGGAUCCGCGCUGCAUUAGCUAGUUGGUAAGGUAACGGCUUACCAAGGCAACGAUGCAUAGCCGACCUGAGAG